GUCACGAUAGCUCAAGUGGUAGAGCAUCGGCGUAACAAGCCGAAGAUCGUGGGUUCGAAUCCCGCUCGCGCCA
RNAcentral lists this transfer RNA (73 nucleotides) under Cimex lectularius (bed bug). Its description in RNAcentral is "tRNA-Val". It matches the Rfam family "tRNA". From Rfam's summary of the family: Transfer RNA (tRNA) molecules are approximately 80 nucleotides in length. The record is from Rfam by way of RNAcentral. Lineage: Eukaryota; Metazoa; Arthropoda; Insecta; Hemiptera; Cimicidae.